RNAcentral lists this long non-coding RNA (388 nucleotides) under Nicotiana benthamiana. RNAcentral's name for it is "long non-coding RNA (NBEN_LNC029159)". The record is from RNAcentral. Lineage: Eukaryota; Viridiplantae; Streptophyta; Magnoliopsida; Solanales; Solanaceae.
CUUUUUCAACUUUCAGUUUUAUUACUUAGCUCAUUCACAGUAGUUCUUAGCCAGGAGGAAGGCAUUGCGGGUUGGUUUAUAGACAAACAUCAUGACCACCUUUCACCAGCUGAAGCCCCUAAAGCUCACAAAGGCCACCACCACCCCAAACAUUCCCCAGCCCCUUCACCAACUAAGCCUCCCACUUACAGCCCAUCAAAACCACCAGUCAAACCACCGGUUAAACCACCAACUAAACCUCCCACUUACAGCCCAUCAAAACCACCAGUUAAACCACCGGUUAAACCACCAACUAAGCCUCCCACUUAUAGUCCAUCAAAACCACCAGCUAAGGCUCCAGUUAAACCACCAAGACCAUCACCUUAUCCUGCUCCUGCUCCUAUUACUA